Molecule: long non-coding RNA, 95 nt
Organism: Thalassophryne amazonica
Lineage: Eukaryota; Metazoa; Chordata; Actinopteri; Batrachoidiformes; Batrachoididae
Exons: 3
Source: RefSeq, a predicted model, not a curated record
AUGUGGCAUUUUGCUGUGUGAUAAAACUGCACAUUUUAGAGUGGUCUUUUACUGUGAUCAGUCCAAGGCACACGUGCGUUUUAUUGCAGCUUAAU